This 76-nucleotide transfer RNA is filed under the name Aureliella helgolandensis. RNAcentral describes it as "Planctomycetes bacterium Q31a tRNA-Gln". It matches the Rfam family "tRNA". From Rfam's summary of the family: Transfer RNA (tRNA) molecules are approximately 80 nucleotides in length. Their secondary structure includes four short double-helical elements and three loops (D, anti-codon, and T loops). Lineage: Bacteria; Pseudomonadati; Planctomycetota; Planctomycetia; Pirellulales; Pirellulaceae. The record is from RNAcentral.
UCCGGGGUAGCAACUGUUGGUAGUCGCAUCUGGCUCUGAACCAGAAGGUCGCAGGUUCGAUUCCUGUCCCCGCUGC